ACAUAGAGUGUGCGUGUGUAUAUACGAUCGAUCAGGGGCAGAGAGUGAGGUGAAACCCUAGUUUCACCAAAAUCCAUCAAAUUGAAGGGGGAUUGAAGGGCUAAACUAAUGCAUGAACCAAGAUUGUCGAUCACCUUAGUGUUUCUACCAUCAUGAUCAUGUUUAAAGGGGAAAGCAUGGAAGGCAAACGGAAAAGGGAUGAUGAAGCAUGUACGAAACGGACACUCGAGGUAAGUGAUUCCGUAAUCACUUCUUAGUUUGUUUAAGUAGUGUAGCGUUUUAGUUAAUUAAACAUGAUGUUUAAUGUCAAAUAUGGAUUUAGUUGAAUGAAAUUGGUGAAUUUUUCUAAGUAGACCAAACGGGUCAAAAUGAGGUCUUAUGAUUAUAUCGAAAAGUUGUAUAAGAAAUGGCUACGGUAGUAUAAACGGUUAAUGGGUAGAAUUGCACAUAAGUACGCAAUCCGGGAAUCGGAGAUGUGGUUUAAUAGUCAAAAGACUCAGAUGUGAGUUGGUUUAAUAGAUAUACAUUUGCGCAAGUGGAGGUUUUAGUAACAAGUUUGAUACGUAGAUUUAAAUGGAAUGAAUGAAAUUAAUGAAUACCGGGUAUCGGUUGCGUAAACCCCAAGUACGAAACUCUAAAUAAUAUAAGAGUAUUAUGGAUAUAAUGUUCAUGUAUGUUUUGGGUUAAAACAAAGGAGUGGUUUGAUGAAAACAUAAACGGGUCAAAUAAUUAGAAAAUGAUUAUUAAGCCGAUAGCGUGUAAGUUAAGAAUUUCCUUAAUCCGGAUAUGGGAUUUUAAGUUCAUAUGAUAGAAUGUGAAUUUACAAGCAUAUAGGAAGAAACGUGAGGUUAAACGGUCAACCGGGUUCAAAGUUAUGCGAGAUUUAGUGGGCGUUUUGUAUCUGCACCCGGAGUAUGGAACGCCGGGUUUGGGAGUAUGGAACGCUGGGCAGAAACCCAAACGCCCAUGCUUCACUGUCAAACGUUGGUUCCAUGUUAAAGUGAACGUCGGGGUGUUCCAAACAAGCCUAGAUCACUUUCCUUGAGUUCCUUUGAUGUAUGUAAAGCUCCAUGUGAUAGGUUUAUGAUCCGGAAUCAUCACGCAAUCUUCCACCACUACCCUACAUGUAAAAAUGCAUCAAAGUAACAUGUCUCGAUACAAAUUCGAUGCUAAAACAUGUAAAUAUUAACCACUUAGGCGUACCAAAAGCAUAUGCAUCAGAUAUGUACGUAUGUAUGUAUGUAUGUAUAAAUAUGAUUGUAUGUAGAUAUGUAGGUGCGUAUGAUCAGACGUAUGAAUAUAUGAAUGCACGAAGUAGGAUUUAUCGUCUAUGAAAAGAAUGGGACAGGUAUGCAUGUAUACAUGGUUUCAAUACGUUUGAGUAUGGACGUUACUAAUGAUGUGCUUGAGAUUGAAAUGUAAUGCAGGAAUGAGAACACCAGACUCUUGUAGAAUUGAAGCCAAACCUUGAAGCCGAACUCGGAACAAAGGAAUCCGAGAGGAUAGUCGAAUGAAUCAAAGUUUAUGUUGUCGAAUGUUAUAUGAUUUUUAAUUUGUAUCAGAUUAUUGUUAUAUGACGUUGUCAAUGACUAAUGGUUAAGUUGUAUGUGGUG
Helianthus annuus (common sunflower) is the source of this 1613-nucleotide long non-coding RNA. RefSeq lists it as uncharacterized. Lineage: Eukaryota; Viridiplantae; Streptophyta; Magnoliopsida; Asterales; Asteraceae. The record is from RefSeq and is a predicted model, not a curated record. The transcript is spliced from 2 exons.